CCUACGGGAGGCAGCAGUGGGGAAUAUUGCACAAUGGGCGAAAGCCUGAUGCAGCAACGCCGCGUGAGUGAAGAAGUAUUUCGGUAUGUAAAGCUCUAUCAGCAGGGAAGAAGCAAGACGGUACCUGACUAAGAAGCCCCGGCUAACUACGUGCCAGCAGCCGCGGUAAUACGUAGGGGGCAAGCGUUAUCCGGAUUUACUGGGUGUAAAGGGAGCGUAGACGGUAUGGCAAGUCUGAAGUGAAAGCCCAGGGCUUAACCCUGGGACUGCUUUGGAAACUGUUAGACUAGAGUGCUGGAGAGGUAAGUGGAAUUCCUAGUGUAGCGGUGAAAUGCGUAGAUAUUAGGAGGAACACCAGUGGCGAAGGCGGCUUACUGGACAGUAACUGACGUUGAGGCUCGAAAGCGUGGGGAGCAAACAGGAUUAGAUACCCGGGUAGUC
RNAcentral lists this ribosomal RNA (441 nucleotides) under uncultured bacterium. RNAcentral describes it as "partial 16S ribosomal RNA". It matches the Rfam family "Bacterial small subunit ribosomal RNA", at positions 338 to 795 of the family's 1533-position model. The record is from RNAcentral.